This 520-nucleotide ribosomal RNA is filed under the name Pseudoaerumnosa sp. JSSCI22. Its description in RNAcentral is "partial 16S ribosomal RNA". The record is from RNAcentral. Lineage: Eukaryota; Metazoa; Arthropoda; Insecta; Diptera; Sciaridae.
GUCUUUUUGAAUUUUAUUUAAAGUCUAACCUGCCCAUUGAAAAUUUUAAAAGGCUGCGGUAUUUUGACCGUACAAAGGUAGCAUAAUCAUUAGUUUUUUAAUUGAAAACUAGAAUGAAUGGUUGAAUGAAAAAUUAACUUUUUUAAAAUAAAUAUAGAAUUUUACUUUUUUAUUAAAAGGUUAAGAUUAAAUUAAAAGACGAGAAGACCCUAUAGAGUUUUACAUUAAUUUAAUUAUAAUUUUGAGGAAUAAAAUUAUAAAUUUAAUUUAUUAUAAUUUAAAAAAUUUUGUUUUAUUGGGGUGAUAAUAAAAUUUAAUAAACUUUUAUUUUUUUUUUCAUUAAUUUAUGAUUUAAUUGAUCCAUUAUUAAUGAUUAUAAAUUUAAAUUACCUUAGGGAUAACAGCAUAAUUUUUUUUUAAGUUCAUAUUAUUAAAAAAGAUUGUGACCUCGAUGUUGGAUUAAGAUUUAAUUUUAGGUGCAGAAGUUUAAAAUUUAAGUCUGUUCGACUUUUAAUUUCUU